Triticum urartu is the source of this 1232-nucleotide non-coding RNA. Lineage: Eukaryota; Viridiplantae; Streptophyta; Magnoliopsida; Poales; Poaceae. The record is from RefSeq and is a predicted model, not a curated record.
GCCGCUCUCCAUGGCUCACCAUGUCGUCUCUCCCUGUCACGCAUUUACAGCCCUCGCUCUCUUCCUAACUAGCUCCCUCCUCAUCCUCCUACCACCUGCUAAGCUAAGCUAGUUAGCUUCCUCCCCUCUCUCAUCCAUCCUCGCUCUGCUAGCUGCUUCUCGGACCGGCAGCGCCCGCUAUAUAUAGCUCUCGCCUCGGCUGCUCCAGAGAGCAAGCAACAAGCUAGCAGCUACACUCACCCAACCGUUAGCCUGAUACUAGCUAGCAAAGCCAUAUCUCCUUCUGCAAGCUGUGUUUGGGCACUCUCAGGUCACAAUUACAGCUUGAUACGUACAUACAUACCGCGAGGGUGGAGUGAAAGCGAUCGAGCAUGUCGUCGAGCAGCCGGAGAUCACGCACGCGGCGCUCCGGGAGCUCGCCGUCUAUCUCGGAGGAGCAGAUCUCCGAGCUGCUGUCCAAGCUGCAGGCGGCGCUCCCGGAGUCCCAAGCUCGCAAUGGCGCUCACAGGGGGUCGGCGGCGAGGGUGCUGCAGGAGACGUGCAGCUACAUCCGGAGCCUGCACCGGGAGGUGGAUGAACUGAGCGAGACGCUCGCCGCGCUGCUUGCCUCCGAUGCCGUUACCGCCGAGCAGGCCGCUGUCAUCAGGAGCCUCCUCAUGUGACCCUCCCACCGCCCUCCCAUCCUCGCGGCGCACACGUACGUCUACCAAGCUCUCCGGCGGCCCAUGUGAGCAUGCCCGUGAGCGAGUACCUUCGUUGUGAGCCCAAUUCCUAAGGACGUUUGAUAACGGAUGAUAUUGUUGUGGCUUCUGGGUGCUUGCACUUUAUGAAGCGAAACAGAGCUGUUAAGUGUUGUCAUUGUGCCCUUAAGCUUCAUGUGAUGAAGGCUUAUGGCAGGGUUGAAUGGGACUACUUUGAGGGCAAUUAUGCUCAAAUUAGGAUUUUCUGAGCGUUGGGCGAACAUUGUAAUGAGUCUUGUCAACUUGGUCUCGUACUCAGUUUUGUUCAAUGGUAAGAAACUUGAAGAAAACAAACGAUCCAGAGGAUCCGACAGGGAGAUCCAAUUUCCCUUUUCCUAUUCUUUUUUUGGCAGAGGGCCUUUUGUCCCUCCUUAAAUCCAGAGUUCAGCCGUCUUAGAUUGGUGUGAUCCAAGUAGCGCCAUUGGCAUCAUCUGUUAACCAUCUUUUAUUUGCAGAUGACAGUUUAUUGUUCUUAAAGUCUAAUGGUGUUCG